CUACGGGACGCUGCAGUGGGGAAUAUUGCACAAUGGGCGCAAGCCUGAUGCAGCCAUGCCGCGUGUAUGAAGAAGGCCUUCGGGUUGUAAAGUACUUUCAGCGGGGAGGAAGGGAGUAAAGUUAAUACCUUUGCUCAUUGACGUUACCCGCAGAAGAAGCACCGGCUAACUCCGUGCCAGCAGCCGCGGUAAUACGGAGGGUGCAAGCGUUAAGCGGAAUUACUGGGCGUAAAGCGCACGCAGGCGGUUUGUUAAGUCAGAUGUGAAAUCCCCGGGCUCAACCUGGGAACUGCAUCUGAUACGGGCAAGCUUGAGUCUCGUAGAGGGGGGUAGAAUUCCAGGUGUAGCGGUGAAAUGCGUAGAGAUCUGGAGGAAUACCGGUGGCGAAGGCGGCCCCCUGGACGAAGACUGACGCUCAGGUGCGAAAGCGUGGGGAGCAAACAGGAUUAGAUACCCCCGUAGUC
RNAcentral lists this ribosomal RNA (464 nucleotides) under uncultured bacterium. RNAcentral's name for it is "partial 16S ribosomal RNA". It matches the Rfam family "Bacterial small subunit ribosomal RNA", at positions 339 to 795 of the family's 1533-position model. The record is from RNAcentral.